AAAGAAAUUAAUUUUAGGUUUAUGAAGUAAAAAAAAUGUAUAUAUAUUACAUGAAGAUGGUGGAUGAUAAUGUACAAUGUGAUUUUACAUAGAGAGGCAUCUUUCUUUCUUCAUCUCUAGCCCUAGAAAUCCUAUAUACAUCAGAAUCUAAAACUAGUUAAACAACAUUUAAAAACAAAAGAAAAGAAAGAGAAAUCAAAACCAAGUAAAAAUGACAUGAAUAUUCACUGAAGUUUUCCUCUUGCCAGCUACUAUUAUAACUCGUGGAUUUUGAAAAUAAUCUGUCUAUCGACAGAUUCAAGAAGGCCA
Molecule: unclassified non-coding RNA, 309 nt
Filed under: Hevea brasiliensis (rubber tree)
Lineage: Eukaryota; Viridiplantae; Streptophyta; Magnoliopsida; Malpighiales; Euphorbiaceae
Source: RNAcentral